CCUACGGGCGGCAGCAGUGAGGAAUAUUGGUCAAUGGGCGGGAGCCUGAACCAGCCAAGCCGCGUGAGGGAAGAAGGUACAGCGUAUCGUAAACCUCUUUUGUCAGGGAACAAAGGCGGGGACUAGUCCCCGUAUGAGGGUACCUGAAGAAAAAGCAUCGGCUAACUCCGUGCCAGCAGCCGCGGUAAUACGGAGGAUGCGAGCGUUAUCCGGAUUUAUUGGGUUUAAAGGGUGCGCAGGCGGCCUGUUAAGUUAGCGGUAAAAACCCGGGGCUCAACCCCGGCGGGCCGUUGAAACUGGCGGGCUGGAGUUGGAGAGAGGGACGCGGAAUGCGCGGUGUAGCGGUGAAAUGCUUAGAGAUGGCGCAGAACCCCGAUUGCGAAGGCAGCGUACCGGCUCCACACUGACGCUGAGGCACGAAAGCGUGGGUAUCGAACAGGAUUAGAUACCCCUGUAGUC
Molecule: ribosomal RNA, 459 nt
Filed under: uncultured bacterium
Lineage: Bacteria
Description: partial 16S ribosomal RNA
Rfam family: Bacterial small subunit ribosomal RNA
Source: RNAcentral